AACGAACGCUGGCGGCAUGCCUAACACAUGCAAGUCGAACGAGCCCUUCGGGUCUUGUGGCGCACGGGUGUGUCACGCGUGGGAACCUGCCCUUAGGUUUGGCAUACCUCUCCGACUGGGGUGCUAAUACCGGACAAUGUCUUCGGCCCAAUGAUUUAUCGCCCUUGGUUGGGCACGCGUUGGAUUAGCUGGUUAGUAGGGUAAUAGCUUACCACGGCGCCGAUCCAUAGCUGGUAUGUGAGGAUGGUCAGCCACACUGGGAGUGAGACACGGCCCAGACUCCUACGGAAGGCAGCAGUGGGGAAUGUUGGACAGUGGGCAAAGGGCUGAUCGAGCUAUGCCGCGAGAGUGAUGAAAGCCGUGAGGUUGUAAAGCGCAUGUACCCGGGAUGAUAAUGACGGUACCGGGAGAGUAAGCUCCGGCUAACUCCGUG
RNAcentral lists this ribosomal RNA (433 nucleotides) under uncultured bacterium. Its description in RNAcentral is "partial 16S ribosomal RNA". It matches the Rfam family "Bacterial small subunit ribosomal RNA", at positions 29 to 507 of the family's 1533-position model. The record is from RNAcentral.